UACGAAGGGGGCAAGCGUUGUUCGGAAUUACUGGGCGUAAAGCGCACGUAGGCGGAUUAGUAAGUCAGGGGUGAAAUCCCGGGGCUCAACCUCGGAACUGCCUUUGAUACUGCUGAUCUCGAGUCCGGAAGAGGUGAGUGGAAUUCCUAGUGUAGAGGUGAAAUUCGUAGAUAUUAGGAAGAACACCAGUGGCGAAGGCGGCUCCAUGGUCCGGUACUGACGCUGAGGUGCGAAAGCGUGGGGAGCAAACAGG
This 253-nucleotide ribosomal RNA is filed under the name uncultured bacterium. RNAcentral's name for it is "partial 16S ribosomal RNA". It matches the Rfam family "Bacterial small subunit ribosomal RNA", at positions 524 to 776 of the family's 1533-position model. The record is from RNAcentral.